Molecule: long non-coding RNA, 645 nt
Organism: Triticum aestivum (bread wheat)
Lineage: Eukaryota; Viridiplantae; Streptophyta; Magnoliopsida; Poales; Poaceae
Exons: 3
Source: RefSeq, a predicted model, not a curated record
AACUGGAAGCAACUUCUGGAUGGCAAGCGAACAUACCUCCGACCACCAAGGGGGCACCAUGUUGCUGCUGCAGGUGGAACCAGAAGAAGCAACCCCCCCCCCUGACGGACGUGGCUGCUGCACAUCUCAAGUGAGCAAAAUCUGUGUACGUGUACAUGCAAGACGCCUCUGUUGCUUGCUGUUGGUCCGCUGCGGUGCUGCAUUAUCCAGGACAGGACACGAUGCUGGUGUCUUUUCUGAUCAUUGAUUGGGACUAGGCCCAUGGUGGUGAGGGACUACUACGACGUGCUCGGCGUGAAGAAGGACGCUGACCAGGGUGAGAUCAAGAAGGCAUAUUACGCAGUAUGGCUCGUUACAAUUGGGUCUGGCACUUAUAUUGUAAUCUUUGGCUUGUCUAAGACUGAACUUCUGAAGGCUGCUUGUGGGUAGUAAUUUUACUUGGUAGAUGCUCGAGGCCAAAAACACACACAUUAUGUACUAAAUGUGGUUGCGUAAGCUCGUGCUUAGAAAUCAAAUCUUUUUGCUGCAAACAUUUUACAAUGGUACGAGAAGAAAUCUCUAGUGGAGCAAGCCUUUUUGCUACAAACAUUUUACAUUCCAAUGCUUGGUGGUAGCCACUGUCCAAAAAUAAACGAAUUGUUCAGA